RNAcentral lists this ribosomal RNA (245 nucleotides) under Astrosyne radiata. Its description in RNAcentral is "partial Bacterial small subunit ribosomal RNA". It matches the Rfam family "Bacterial small subunit ribosomal RNA", at positions 11 to 270 of the family's 1533-position model. Lineage: Eukaryota; Bacillariophyta; Fragilariophyceae; Cyclophorales; Cyclophoraceae. The record is from RNAcentral.
GUUUGAUCCCGGCUCAGAAUCAACGCUGGCGGCGCGCUUAACACAUGCAAGUCGAACGAGAAAGGGUAGCAAUACCUGAGUAAAGUGGCGUACGGGUGAGUAACACGUGGAUCAUCUGCCCUUUGGUGGGGAAUAACUCUGGGAAACCGGAGCUAAUACCGCAUAAGUCCGAGAGGAGAACGCAGCAAUGCGCCGAAGGAGGAGUCCGCGGCUGAUUAGCUAGUUGGUGAGGUAAUGGCUCACCA